RNAcentral lists this ribosomal RNA (292 nucleotides) under uncultured bacterium. RNAcentral describes it as "partial 16S ribosomal RNA". It matches the Rfam family "Bacterial small subunit ribosomal RNA", at positions 505 to 796 of the family's 1533-position model. The record is from RNAcentral.
GUGUCAGCAGCCGCGGUAAUACGAAGGGGGCUAGCGUUGUCCGGGUUUAUUGGGCGUAAAGAGCGUGUAGGCGGCCAGGUAGGUCGGCUGUGAAAACUCGAGGCUCAACCUCGAGAUGUCGGCCGAAACCAUCUGGCUAGAGUCCGGAAGAGGAGAGUGGAAUUCCCGGUGUAGCGGUGAAAUGCGCAGAUAUCGGGAAGAACACCCGUGGCGAAGGCGGCUCUCUGGGACGGUACUGACGCUGAGACGCGAAAGCGUGGGGAGCGAACAGGAUUAGAAACCCCUGUAGUCC